This 253-nucleotide ribosomal RNA is filed under the name uncultured bacterium. RNAcentral describes it as "partial 16S ribosomal RNA". It matches the Rfam family "Bacterial small subunit ribosomal RNA", at positions 524 to 776 of the family's 1533-position model. The record is from RNAcentral.
UACAGAGGGUGCAAGCGUUGUUCGGAAUUACUGGGCGUAAAGCGCGUGUAGGUGGCGAGAUAAGUCGGGUGUGAAAUCCCUUGGCUUAACCAAGGAAGUGCAUUCGAUACUGUUUCGCUUGAGUAUCGGAGGGGUCGGCGGAAUUCCCGGUGUAGAGGUGAAAUUCGUAGAUAUCGGGAGGAACACCAGUGGCGAAGGCGGCUUUCUGGUCUGCUCUUGACGCUGAGGCGCGAAAGCUAGGGUAGCAAACGGG